CAUAUUAAUGCACUGUUGCAGAGUUGCAAAUUUUAUCUGUUACAUUGAAUGGUAAAUGCACUAGAUGGCACUUCACUUCACCCAGGUGCUUGCUUUGGCUGUGUCUUGCUCCUUUGCCUACCAUGGUUGAAAUUCGUAGACGGCCGUACCAAGAUUUUUCAUUUUGAUAUAUAUUUAUUAUUAGACAGUUCGAUAUAUUGGUGGCCCAUUAGAGUAGUUGUUGAUCUGGUUUAGAGUAUCAUUAUGUCAUGGUGAUUUUGUCGGUUCUCCUGCUU
RNAcentral lists this long non-coding RNA (275 nucleotides) under Vitis vinifera (wine grape). Its description in RNAcentral is "long non-coding RNA (VVIN_LNC007830)". Lineage: Eukaryota; Viridiplantae; Streptophyta; Magnoliopsida; Vitales; Vitaceae. The record is from RNAcentral.